CGAACAUUUUUUAUAUGAAGUAAUGACCUACAUACCAUUCAACCAGAAAAAGUAAAAUAGUUUUAACAAAACAUAUCGCUGCUUCUUCAAAAACAAAAAAUUAAAAAAAUACUUAACAUUUCAUUUUUAAUGAUAAUAAUUCAAUUUAUAUAGAAAAAUGAGUUAUGCACAAUUUCUGUUCAAACCGCAACAUUGGUCAAUUAUUGAAAAUAUGAAUAUUUUAAUUUAGUAUGCAUAAAUACACACGUCAACUUUUAUAUGAAAGCAUCGGCGAUAACUAUGAAUAAGUAUGUACACAUUUCUUGUAAAUUGUCGUAGUUGUGUAAGUCGUUCAGUAUAAGCUCAGCUGAUGCCACAAAUAAAAAUCAGCUGUGUGUGUAAGCAUGUGUGCGUAUACAAGCGAUCUUUGAGAGGUUCUAAGGAAUAUCAAUACAGAUAAAAUAUCGUUAUUCAAUAUUCGGUUCUUGCAUAUGACGUCAUUGUGAGGCGCGCUAAUCUCUAAAAUGGUGUUGUGAAUACCCCACUUUGGCGGCAGCUUAACUUUUUGUCGAUGUGUAGCGAUUCGGUGACGUGUUGUUUUCUAGUCAAACCCCAACCCAAGCAAAUGUUUGCAUACGUCUCUGCAUUUAAAGCAUUUAUUAGCAACUUUCGAAAGUGAACAAACAAAUUGGGAACAAGUAAAAAGCGUGGCCCAUACAAACGAAUUAAAGUAGAAAUAUAUCGAUUUUAAAUUGUUAACGAGUUAAAGUAGCUCAAAUAUUAAUCCUCAAAGCGUGUAAAAACAGUUGUAUUUCCGCAACGACGCAAUAAAAAGUUGUGGUUGUAAGAUUCAAAUUUAAAAAAAGUUGAUUCGUUUUGGAAGUGGAAUUUGCAACGUCAAACGGAGUAUUUCACAAUAUUUGGUAAUAUAUUAUUAUAUUAUUUUUACAAAAUUAACUAACAUCACCAUCAUCUUCGACAUAUUGCUCCUCUUCUUCUUCGUGGUGUUGUGUUUCGUCUUCCAUAAUUAUAAUUUUAAAAAAUUUGGGAGCUUGUUAUUAAUAUUUGUUUGUUUUUAACUUGGCGCGAUAAAAAACGUUUACUUAUUGUCUUGUAUUUUUAUUUAAUUUUUUUUUUCUGCGGAAGACAAGUCACGUUGCUAGUCGCUUCGUUGCUCGCAAAACUUCAACACAAUACUGAAUUAUAUGAAAAUACGGCAAUGAGCACCAAGCAAGUGGUCAGACAUUCAAUCAGCCAACAAGCAAGUCAGUCAGUGGAACAACUUUCUCCUCUAACAAAAGCAACAACAAUCACAGCAUAGGGCCAACUGAUGUGUAAUCAUAACAAAAAGCCACAGAAGAAUUAAAAACACAGAAAAAUUACAAGUGUACAACAACAACAAUAGCAAUGAAGAGAACUAAGAAAUCUUCUGGGAGACGGCGGGCAACAAGUGUUGAAAUAACCAGAAACAGCUGAGAGGCAAAAUAAAUAUUCGUGAAGUGAAUUUAAGCCAAACUAAGCUCAAAAGCAAAGAGUGCGAUAUACAUACAUACAUACGGGGAGAACGUGCAAAUGUGAAUACCAAUUGUAGCAGAACUUAGCGCUGUUCACGAACUAUUCAAUUGAGAAUUAUGAUGUGAGAGAAAUCAAACGAAAGAUAUUUUUGGAAUAUACAUACAUAUAUUGUAUUAUACAAACAAAAAAAAUAACCAGAAAAUUUGAAAUUAAAUUUAAAAAAAAAUUAUAAAAACUAGAGACUCCAACUUCUUCCAGCUGGCUACUUUUGAAUUGGUGGUCUUAUUAGCAAAAAGCAAUUAAAAUUCGGUUGGUUACAAAGCAAAAGCAUUACUAAAGGAGUAUAUGUAUACUCGUAAUUUCGCUAUAAACAAGAUCACUGUUAUUUUUUAAAUAUAAUAAAAUAUAUCUCUAUUGGUUGAAUAACCACUUUGCUAUGCUCUUUCUCAAAUGGUUUUUAGCUCACUUUUAUUUUUUUAUAUUAUUUUUGCUCACGCUCAAAACUAGUUUGGAAAUUUCUGGUUGCUACAUGUGCUUUAAGUAAGGUUUUUUUUGCAUAUAUAACUUUUUAAUAUUCUCUUUCAGCUGAUUUGCUACGUCACUUGUAGUGAGCAAGUUUUCUGUGCAUUUGGACCAUGCCUUGUAAUGUAUUAUUGUUUGCUCUUUUUUGUAAAAACUGUUAAUAUUUUUUUUUUUUUUAAAUUACAAUUACUUACAAAAUUUGAUUGGUUAACCUGUUCGAAAUCUAUACUAUAAUAUUAUAAAUGCGAAAGUCCGUUUGUUUGUUAAGCUUUCACGCAAAAACUACUUAACAGAUCAUCAUGAAAUUUUGUACAUAUACUCUUAGCGGUGUCAGAAUGAACAUAGGAUACUUUUUAUUACAAAAUUUAUAAAUUUUUGACGGAUUAUUAAAAAAAUUAUUUUUGAAGAUUAUAUAUGUUUGGAAAAUAAAUUUGAAAAUUUUGAAAUUGAAAAAAAAAGUUUGGCAGAAAUGAUUGUUUGUCGAAAAAUUAAAAUGAAAGAAAACAUAAAUGUAUAAAAUACGUAAAUCAGAGAAAUAACACAAAUAUGGAUUCGAUGCGAGCGAAGCCGCGGGUAAAAGCUAGUUUCUAUAUAUAUAUACGAAAAAUUUAAGCAUUUCGUGGAGACCCUCACAUUCUUCUAUCUGUUACCUCGGCAAAUUAGCGGUGAUAGUAGUGUUGGAAAGCCUCGUAACUUACAUUUAUAUAUGGUCAAAUAUAUACAUAGUUCGAUUACGUUCCGAACCAUUACGUUGUAGUAUUUUGAAAUCCAAAAUUUUAGCUGGUAUUCCCGAAUAUGUUGUUUAUCAAUAAUGGAAAUUUACUCUCACAUUGAUUAAAAUCGAGGCCAGAAACCAGCUGUAUAGCAAAAAUAACAUUUAAAUAAAUAUGAUGGGUAAUUUAAACGCUGGUGCUGCAACAAUUUCCGCAUUAAAAAAUUGAAAUGUUAAAGCUUUUUAUUUGCCCGAAGUAAAAUUAAAUUUUAAAUCCUGAUUUGAUCGCCAAUAAAAUCUUUCAGUUUUAUAUAAUGUAAUGCGUUGUACUAACGUUGCUGACGAACAGUUUCCAUUGCAUAUGCAAAUAAAUAUGGACACAAAUUUUCAAUUGUAAAUCACUCGCUAAAUAUGAAUUAUCUUGUUGUACAUAUGUAUGUAGAAAUAAAAUUGCCUAAUUGUUUGUUGCUUCUAAUUGAGACAAUUGAAAUAUGACUGUUGAAUAAUUCUCAUUCUAUCACAAAAGUUGUCUAAAACAUUGCUGCAAUUGCUUGAUAUAGAAUAGGUAGUAUUCGUGAACUUUUCCAAAAGUUUGUAAAUUCUGCUUGUUCCAAUUUAUUUUAAAUAGAUGUGUAUACGUUGGCACUAUUGGUUUUUUUUUUCCUAUUUAUAGCAGACUAUGAAAAACUAUCCACAAUUCGACAACGUCUCAAAUACAAAAUAACAUCUCCCACAUGGCCCAGCUUCUAAUUCUGUACAUAUGUACCUCCAUGCAUUCACGCAUGUAUGUAAUAAAACUUUAUGUGGGUGUCUUCUUGUUGUAAAAGAAAAUGUACCUACAAUAAAUUAAGUAGAUUUGUUUACUUAUUUUAUGAACACUUCAAGUACAUUAAUUCAAUAAUAGAAAUACAAUAUACUUUAGCGGCUUAUCAAUGAAACGGGUAAUCACAGUCUAUCGCGAAAAUUAAUAUUGGCUGCAAAAUCUUCAAUAUUUCAAGAGUUCACGUCAGCAAACCCUGAUAAUCGUAAUCUUAUCCCUCAAUGAGAGUAUUGAAAUCCUAAUUUUAUUUCGGGAAAUUCCAAUUAAAUCAGUAAAUAGCAAUCCAUUUAUGGCUAAGGUAAAUAAACAGCAAAUUAUUGUAUAAAAAAACUUAAAUGCAAAUGAGAACGAAAAUAAUGUGGGGUCAAAUUAUAAAAUAUGCUUAUAUGUGCGAGCGAAAAAGCGAUAUAUUUUCAUUCACUACUGUCAAGCGACAAGCUGUUCUUCAACACGUUUUUUGUUAUUUCGAAUGAAGUUUACAUAUUUACGUGCAUAUAUAUGAUAUGUAGAUUAAGCGAUACCAAAUGACUCGAAAAACAAAAACAAUCUUCUGCAAUAUGUCGCACUUGUGCCAACUAGCUUCAUUUCUGCCAUACACUCGUAUAUUUUUCCAGCAACAAAAACAAUAAUUAGAGCCGCUAAUACAACAACACAGCUGGCAGAGUAGAACAAAAAUUUAAAUCUUAUACAUUUUCUUUUCCAUACAAUUGUUUAAAGGGAUAUUUUCAAUAAUUACGUAUUGCCGCCAAUAACCAACACAUUCCAUAUAUUUGUUCUAUGUCCAUAAUGAUGGCAAUCUGCUCGCUUAUUCAAUAGCAAUAUACACGCCAGCAUGACAAUUUUAUAUGCGCAAUAACUUUUCCACUAUUCAUUUUUCAUAUACGCAGGUACAAAAAUUUAGUUUGACAAACAUAUGAAAAAAUAACUAAAUAAACUGAAUGUAGGAUGCUUUUCAACUUCUUUCAUACAAAAUGUGUGCAUUUUCUUAUAUAGUCACUUACAUCCUUACGGCGUCUUGAACGUUUCUUUUCAGACAUUUUCACUAACGCUCUAUUUCACAAAUCAAUUACUAUUUGUAUUAUGAUAUCACUGUUCAAAUUGAUUUAAUUAUUUGCAAACGAAAAUUUUCUUUUCUAUAUAUUCACUCAACACUUUUUGCACCUUCACCUCCACUGACUUCAAAAUCAAAAA
Long non-coding RNA from Bactrocera oleae (olive fruit fly), 4739 nucleotides. RefSeq lists it as uncharacterized. NCBI's taxonomy places the organism in Eukaryota, Metazoa, Arthropoda, Insecta, Diptera, Tephritidae. The record is from RefSeq and is a predicted model, not a curated record.